Long non-coding RNA from Alnus glutinosa, 175 nucleotides. RefSeq lists it as uncharacterized. The transcript has 3 exons. NCBI's taxonomy places the organism in Eukaryota, Viridiplantae, Streptophyta, Magnoliopsida, Fagales, Betulaceae. The record is from RefSeq and is a predicted model, not a curated record.
GUGGGAAUUAUGAAAGAGAUGGGUUUAGAUGCAUACAGAUUCUCAAUCUCAUGGUCUCGAUUGCUACCAAAAGGAAAACUAAGUGGGGGUGUUAACAGAGAAGGAAUAAAAUAUUACAAUGACCUCAUCAAUGAGCUAGUAGCAAAAGGUGUACAGCCCUUUGUGACACUUUUCC